Molecule: ribosomal RNA, 253 nt
Filed under: uncultured bacterium
Lineage: Bacteria
Description: partial 16S ribosomal RNA
Rfam family: Bacterial small subunit ribosomal RNA
Source: RNAcentral
UACGAAGGGGGCUAGCGUUGCUCGGAAUCACUGGGCGUAAAGGGUGCGUAGGCGGGUCUUUAAGUCAGGGGUGAAAUCCUGGAGCUCAACUCCAGAACUGCCUUUGAUACUGAAGAUCUUGAGUCCGGGAAGAGGCGAGUGGAAUUCCCAGUGUAGCGGUGAAAUGCGUAGAUAUCGGGAGGAACACCUGUGGCGAAGGCGGCCCCUGGUUGGAUACUGACGCUGAUACGCGAAAGCGUGGGGAGCAACGAGG